GUGCUCGAUCCACCUCCAACUGAAACUCCACCUCACUCUGAGCUCCUUCUGGCUUCUGAAGCUCCACCUCACACUGAGCUCUCCAUCAGAUAAUAAUAUCCUCUUUUCUUCUUCUUUCCCUUCAGAAUAAUCCUAUCGUUGCAUAGCAUCUUCAGGAUUCCUCUACCAGCUACCGUCUUGUAGCCUCUUGAAUCCAAUCUACUCAGUGAGAUA
This 213-nucleotide long non-coding RNA is filed under the name Elaeis guineensis (African oil palm). RNAcentral describes it as "long non-coding RNA (EGUI_LNC039939)". Lineage: Eukaryota; Viridiplantae; Streptophyta; Magnoliopsida; Arecales; Arecaceae. The record is from RNAcentral.